This 3549-nucleotide long non-coding RNA is filed under the name Salmo salar (Atlantic salmon). RNAcentral's name for it is "lncRNA (ENSSSAG00000110453.1)". Lineage: Eukaryota; Metazoa; Chordata; Actinopteri; Salmoniformes; Salmonidae. The record is from RNAcentral.
GUAAUGUUCAUUUGUUUAUACCUUCUACCUUUCUCCUUAGCAAGCUAACAUUAGCUAACGUUCAUUUGAAUUGGAAAGUUGGCAAACCAAGUUAGCAUGCUAACUUUAACUAGGUUACAUUGACUGUUAGCAGUUAAUAACUGCACGAAUGGCCAUUCGUUGAAAAAACUUGAACUUUGGUUAGAUUGAGAGUGCUUUAUUGCCAGUAAUAGUGUUAACGAGGUGUAAAUGACACCGUCGAUUAUUUAGCUUCGCCGUCUUUGGUGCCCUUUCUAUUGACAAUAGAAAAUAAAUAGAAAGGGCGCCAAAGACAGCAAAGCUACAUUUUCGAUGGUGUCAGUCAUUGUCUACAAUCUUAGCUAGCUGCUAAUAUAAGCACAAACAUGCUGCCCAGCCUUUCUAAGGAGGAUUUACAGUGAUUUCUUUCCCAGGCCAGAGCACUUCUUCAGAAGGAGAACCAUUUGGAGAUUUACUCAUGGUGAAAAUGAGGGUCAAGAAUCAGACCUGUGAAGACCAGGCACCUCCUCUGGGACCUUUCUUCAGGCGAGACCACUCUUCAGCCCUGUCGUGAUUGUCUGCGAACCCAACUGCGUACUGGCCAUUGGAACCAUGCCUGUGGUGACCUUCCCAAAAGAGGACAUCUAUGCCAGCGUGACGUAUCUCAUGGAGUGUUAUUACACCUUUACCUCACAUAUCCCAAGUACAUUGUGACACUCCUCUCUGUGUUGCAGACAGAAGUCCUCUCGGACGCCAUCCACGACCAGGACAUGACUUCUUCAUAUAAAAAGGCUAUGGCCGAGUGGAAAAAGUUCAUUACUGACUAGGGUUGCACAAUACCAUUUUUUCAUUUCCAGUCCCGAUAACAAAACUGUGUAUUGGCCCAUCCGAGAACUGAUCCUAUAACCUUUAAUAAAUAGACAGGGCGUUUGUUGUUUAUUAUAAGAAGGUUUAAAGCACUGUUAUGAAUGUUAUCUUCCCAUUGGUCUUACAUUUUCACCUUGACCACCAAUGGCCUUUGUUGUUUUUGCAUCCAGUUCUGCCCAUAUCAGCCUCUGGAUAUACUGAGUCUUCAAUAAAGAAGUGAAAAGAAAUGAGAUUCAUCACAUUUACAUCUUAGUCAUUUAGCAGAAGCUCUUAUUCAGAGCGACUUACAGUAGUGAAUGCAUACAAUUCAUACAUUUUUUUUUUUCUUCCUUCCCUGUGUUGGUCCCCCAUGGGAAUUGAACCCACAACCCUGGUGUUGCAAACACCAUGCUCUACCAACUGAGCCACUCUUUCAUUCUUUCUUUAAGCUGGCCAAUCUCAUUUCUAAUAGUAGUACAAGUACAUUUAUCUUAGUCAAGAUUACUUAUUUUAAGCAAAAUGUUUCUGUAAAUUCCUGGGAAUAUUGCCUUAUUUCAAGACGAUUGCAAUAGCAUUGGAUUCUAAAUUUAAGCACAUUUUCCUACAGAUUUAGAAAAUAAUUCUUAAAUCUUUUAUUUGCAUACAGACAAAUGUACUUUUUUUUUGUGUAGCUGUACUGGUUUUAAGAUAUAUUUACUAAACAUAUAGCCUUAUUUCAAGAUGAUGGCACUAGCAUUUGCUAAAUUUAAGCACAUUUUCCUACAUAUUGAGAAAAUUAUUCUUACAUCUUUUCUUUGUAUCCAGACAAAUUACUUGUUUUUAGUCUGAACGCACUAGGUUUAAGAUAUCUGUACAUUCUUUGAGACUAGAUAUUUUAACUUGUUUAAAAAAUCUUGUCAAGUAAAAUUUUCCUGUUCUGUUGGCAGAUCAUUUUGCCUAUUUUAAGUAAUAUUUCCCUAAUUGUAUUGCUUUUAUUUCUUGUUUUUGAGAGCUGACUUGCAGUGUAGGCUUUAGGGGGUGAGGGAGAGUGUUGUCUAGUAGUGAUUGUGCGGACCUUGGUUGUUUAUAUUUCUCUGUCAAAAGAGGUUUGUUCCUUGUAAUAGACUGUUUCUUGCUCUUCCAAUACACCAUUUUCUACUUCUCCAGUGCAGCUUGUCUGAGCUUCAUUUGGAAUGGUUAUAGAGGUCGAAGUCUCAGACUUUAAGCAUUCUGGCUCUUCUUUUCCUUCAAACAAUGGUUGAGAAGGUUUACCUGAGUAUUGUUGUGACUUCCCAGUUAUCUGGUUAGUAGAAGACCCUGAGGCUCCUGCCACUGCAGGCUGUUCAGAUUUAGACGCACUUGGUGAUUUUAUUGAACAUAUUGGAAUGUCUGUGUCUGAGCUUUUCAUGGCUUUCUUGUCAUUUGAUGGUCCAGUCGAAGAAGAAUCCCUGAGCGAAUUGGAUUCAAUAAUGUCCCUUUCUUCUGCUAUUAAAUCCUGCUUUGUUCUCAUUCAAAUCUUGUUUAGUUGGGGAGCGGGACAGAGAACCUGGACUUCUGGUGUGCGGUCCUUUAUGUUUUGAGAUUCCAUUAGUAUUUUUAUCUCCCUGGGGUAGUGGAUUCACCUGCCCUGGAUCUGAGUGAUCCGAGUGGUUGUUGUCAAUAAAGUCCCCCACUUCUACGGGCCCACCUAGGUCCCUCCCCCUGCGCCUCCUUGAUGGUGGGAGAGCCCACCUCUGACCAGUAAAGUCAAUCACAAACUGAGAGACAGGUCAACCACAGAAGAACUAGAAUGAGAUUAUGCUUACUUUGAGGUGAAGAUCAACACAAAGUAUAUUACAUUGAAGUGUUUUCAUACAUUUGCAUUGGGCUGUGAUCUGAGGGUGGUGAAUAUGGAUGCCAUAGACUGCAGACACUAUUAUUUAGCAAGCUAACUUACUAUCAUAGAACAAUAUAUUCAUUAUCUAUGUGUUUUUAGCCAGCAAGGCAGUCCCUCGCAUUUGAGUGAAAGCUAGCAAGAGGCCUGCCCAGCGUUAUUUUACAUUUUAGUCAUUUAGCAGACACUUUUUUUUUUGUACUGGCCCCCCGUGGGAAUUGAACCUACAACCCUGGCGUUGCACACACCAUGCUGGCGUUGCAAACACCAUGCUCUACCAACUGAGCCACAGGGAAGGCUCUUAUCAAUGAUGUUAGCUAUCUGUUAGCUAGCUAGCAAACUAACACCGAUUUAGCCUACUGUAAUUUCCGGACUAUUAAGCGCACCUGAAUAUAAGCCGCACCCACUGAAUUAAAAAAUAUAUAUUAUUUUGAACAUAAAUAAGCCGCACAUGUCUAUAAGCCGCAGGUGCCUACCGGUUACUUUGAAACAAAUUAACUUUACACAGGCUUUAACGAAACACGGCUUGUAACAAAAAUAAAUAGGCUUUAACGAAACACGGCUUGUAACAAGAAAUAAAAAAUUAGCAGUAAGCUUUAGUUGUCUUUUUGCACUGAGUCAAUUCCUCAUGCUGCUGUUUCCAACGUCUUAUCAUCGACUCAUUAAGACCAAGCUCCCGUGCAGCAGCUCUAUUUCCUUUUCCAACAGCCAGAUCAAUCGCCUUCAACUUGAAAGAUGCAUCAUAUGCAUUUCUCUGUGUCUUUGCCAUGAUGAGGGUGACAAAAUGACUACCGUAAUCAGAAUGAUGGGAAGUUUGAGAGCGCUCUAUUUAAUCUAAACAGUAAACAAAAAAG